Molecule: ribosomal RNA, 715 nt
Filed under: uncultured bacterium
Lineage: Bacteria
Description: bacterial SSU rRNA
Rfam family: Bacterial small subunit ribosomal RNA
Source: RNAcentral
UCUGCCCUUAAGUGUGGAAUAACGUACCGAAAGGUGCGCUAAUACCGCAUAAUGCCUGGCAACACAAGUUGUCCGGCCAAAGAAGGCCUCUGUUUACAAGCUUUCGCUUCAGGAUGAGUCCGCGUACCAUUAGCUUGUUGGUGGGGUAAUGGCCUACCAAGGCUGCGAUGGUUAGCUGGUCUGAGAGGAUGAUCAGCCACACUGGAACUGAGACACGGUCCAGACUCCUACGGGAGGCAGCAGUGAGGAAUAUUGCGCAAUGGGGGCAACCCUGACGCAGCAACGCCGCGUGAGUGAGGAAGGUUUUCGGACCGUAAAGCUCUGUCGAGUGGGAAGAAGUGUAUCAUGGCUAAUAUCCGUGAUAUUUGACGGUACCGCUAGAGGAAGCACCGGCUAACUCCGUGCCAGCAGCCGCGGUAAUACGGGGGGUGCAAGCGUUGUUCGGAAUUAUUGGGCGUAAAGAGCGUGUAGGCGGCCGAGCAAGUCAGAUGUGAAAUCCCCGGGCUUAACCCGGGAAGUGCAUUUGAAACUGCUAGGCUUGAGUAGGGGAGAGGAAAGUGGAAUUCCUGGUGUAAAGGUGAAAUUCGUAAAUAUCAGGAGGAACACCGGUGGCGAAGGCGACUUUCUGGCCCUAUACUGACGCUGAGACGCGAGAGCGUGGGUAGCAAACAGGAUUAAAUACCCUGGUAGUCCACGCCGUAAACGAUGUUCACUA